GACGAACGCUGGCGGCGUGCUUAACACAUGCAAGUCGAACGGAAAGGCCCUGCUUUUGUGGGGUGCUCGAGUGGCGAACGGGUGAGUAACACGUGAGUAACCUGCCCUUGACUUUGGGAUAACUUCAGGAAACUGGGUCUAAUACCGGAUAGGAGCUCCUGCUGCAUGGUGGGGGUUGGAGAGUUUCGGCGGUUGGGGAUGGACUCGCGGCUUAUCCGCUUGUUGGUGGGGUAGUGGCUUACCAAGGCUUUGACGGGUAGCCGGCCUGAGAGGGUGACCGGCAACAUGGGGACGGGGAUACGGCCCAGACUCCUACGGGAGGCAGCAGUGGGGAUAUUGGCACAAGGGGCGGAGGCCGGAUGCAGCAAGGCGGGGUGCGGGAGGACGGCCUUCGGGUUGUAAACCGCUUUCGCCUGUAACGAAGCGUGUGUGACGGUAAUGGGUAAAGAAGCACCGGCUAACUACGUG
This 468-nucleotide ribosomal RNA is filed under the name uncultured bacterium. Its description in RNAcentral is "partial 16S ribosomal RNA". It matches the Rfam family "Bacterial small subunit ribosomal RNA", at positions 28 to 507 of the family's 1533-position model. The record is from RNAcentral.